CAGUCGCCGCGGUAAUACAGAGGGUGAGAGCGUUAAUCGGAUUUACUGGGCGUAAAGCGUGCGUAGGCGGCUUCUUAAGUCGGAUGUGAAAUCCCUGAGCUUAACUUAGGAAUUGCAUUCGAUACUGGGAAGCUAGAGUAUGGGAGAGGAUGGUAGAAUUCCAGGUGUAGCGGUGAAAUGCGUAGAGAUCUGGAGGAAUACCGAUGGCGAAGGCAGCCAUCUGGCCUAAUACUGACGCUGAGGUACGAAAGCAUGGGGAGCAAACAGGAUUAGAUACCCGAGUAGUCCCUGUCUCUUAUAC
RNAcentral lists this ribosomal RNA (301 nucleotides) under uncultured bacterium. RNAcentral describes it as "partial 16S ribosomal RNA". It matches the Rfam family "Bacterial small subunit ribosomal RNA", at positions 509 to 807 of the family's 1533-position model. The record is from RNAcentral.